UAACGCGAAGAACCUUACCAGGUCUUGACAUCCUCUGACAACCCUAGAGAUAGGGCUUCCCCUUCGGGGGCAGAGUGACAGGUGGUGCAUGGUUGUCGUCAGCUCGUGUCGUGAGAUGUUGGGUUAAGUCCCGCAACGAGCGCAACCCUUGAUCUUAGUUGCCAGCAUUCAGUUGGGCACUCUAAGGUGACUGCCGGUGACAAACCGGAGGAAGGUGGGGAUGACGUCAAAUCAUCAUGCCCCUUAUGACCUGGGCUACACACGUGCUACAAUGGGCAGAACAAAGGGCAGCGAAGCCGCGAGGCUAAGCCAAUCCCACAAAUCUGUUCUCAGUUCGGAUCGCAGUCUGCAACUCGACUGCGUGAAGCUGGAAUCGCUAGUAAUCGCGGAUCAGCAUGCCGCGGUGAAUACGUUCCCGGGCCUUGUACACACCGA
This 435-nucleotide ribosomal RNA is filed under the name uncultured Bacillus sp. RNAcentral describes it as "bacterial SSU rRNA". It matches the Rfam family "Bacterial small subunit ribosomal RNA", at positions 957 to 1393 of the family's 1533-position model. Lineage: Bacteria; Bacillati; Bacillota; Bacilli; Caryophanales; Bacillaceae. The record is from RNAcentral.